RNAcentral lists this ribosomal RNA (402 nucleotides) under uncultured Prosthecomicrobium sp. RNAcentral describes it as "bacterial SSU rRNA". It matches the Rfam family "Bacterial small subunit ribosomal RNA", at positions 353 to 772 of the family's 1533-position model. Lineage: Bacteria; Pseudomonadati; Pseudomonadota; Alphaproteobacteria; Hyphomicrobiales; Kaistiaceae. The record is from RNAcentral.
AGUGGGGAAUAUUGGACAAUGGGGGCAACCCUGAUCCAGCCAUGCCGCGUGAGUGAUGAAGGCCUUAGGGUUGUAAAGCUCUUUCGCCCGCGAAGAUAAUGACGGUAGCGGGAGAAGAAGCCCCGGCUAACUUCGUGCCAGCAGCCGCGGUAAUACGAAGGGGGCUAGCGUUGUUCGGAAUCACUGGGCGUAAAGCGUACGUAGGCGGGCACUUAAGUCAGGGGUGAAAGCCUGGAGCUCAACUCCAGAACUGCCUUUGAUACUGGGUGUCUCGAGUCCGGGAGAGGUGAGUGGAACUGCUAGUGUAGAGGUGAAAUUCGUAGAUAUUAGCAAGAACACCAGUGGCGAAGGCGGCUCACUGGCCCGGUACUGACGCUGAGGUACGAAAGCGUGGGGAGCAAA